RNAcentral lists this ribosomal RNA (480 nucleotides) under Acremonium cavaraeanum. RNAcentral describes it as "eukaryotic LSU rRNA". It matches the Rfam family "Eukaryotic large subunit ribosomal RNA", at positions 84 to 574 of the family's 3401-position model. Lineage: Eukaryota; Fungi; Ascomycota; Sordariomycetes; Hypocreales; Bionectriaceae. The record is from RNAcentral.
UAACGGCGAGUGAAGCGGCAACAGCUCAAAUUUGAAAUCUGGCCCCUAGGGUCCGAGUUGUAAUUUGUAGAGGAUGCUUCUGGCGCGGUGCCUUCCGAGUUCCCUGGAACGGGACGCCAUAGAGGGUGAGAGCCCCGUCUGGUUGGACGCCAAGCCUCUGUGAAGCUCCUUCGACGAGUCGAGUAGUUUGGGAAUGCUGCUCUAAAUGGGAGGUAUAUGUCUUCUAAAGCUAAAUACCGGCCAGAGACCGAUAGCGCACAAGUAGAGUGAUCGAAAGAUGAAAAGCACUUUGAAAAGAGGGUUAAACAGUAUGUGAAAUUGUUGAAAGGGAAGCGCUCAUGACCAGACUUGGGCCUGGUGAAUCAUCCGGCGUUCUCGCCGGUGCACUUUACCGGUCCAGGCCAGCAUCAGUUCGCCUCGGGGGAUAAAGGCUUCGGGAAUGUGGCUCCCUCGGGAGUGUUAUAGCCCGUUGUGUAAUAC